RNAcentral lists this ribosomal RNA (499 nucleotides) under uncultured bacterium. RNAcentral's name for it is "partial 16S ribosomal RNA". It matches the Rfam family "Bacterial small subunit ribosomal RNA", at positions 28 to 507 of the family's 1533-position model. The record is from RNAcentral.
GAUGAACGCUGGCGGCGUGCCUAAUACAUGCAAGUCGAGCGAACAGACGAGAGUGCUUGCACUCUCUGACGUUAGCGGCGGACGGGUGAGUAACACGUGGGUAACCUACCUAUAAGACUGGGAUAACUUCGGGAAACCGGAGCUAAUACCGGAUAAUAUUUAGCUUCGCAUGAAGCAAUAGUGAAAGACGGUUCUGCUGUCACUUAUAGAUGGACCCGCGGUGUAUUAGCUAGUUGGGGAGGUAACGGCUCACCAAGGCAACGAUACAUAGCCGACCUGAGAGGGUGAUCGGCCACACUGGGACUGAGACACGGCCCAGACUCCUACGGGAGGCAGCAGUAGGGAAUCUUCCGCAAUGGACGAAAGUCUGACGGAGCAAUGCCGCGUGAGUGAAGAAGGUUUUCGGAUCGUAAAACUCUGUUGUAAGGGAAGAACAAGUACGUUAGUAACUGAACGUACCUUGACGGUACCUUACCAGAAAGCCACGGCUAACUACGUG